Molecule: long non-coding RNA, 1525 nt
Filed under: Spirodela polyrhiza (greater duckweed)
Lineage: Eukaryota; Viridiplantae; Streptophyta; Magnoliopsida; Alismatales; Araceae
Description: long non-coding RNA (SPOL_LNC000059)
Source: RNAcentral
UUCUAUUAGCAUAAACCAAUAAAGAUAGAACUUUUGAUACUAAUUGAGUGAGGUUUUUAGAACUUGAAGCUAAGAGAUCGUCUACUAUCUUAGAUAUGUUCUUGUUCUAUUUUAGUACUUUGCUCAAUCUUCUAUGUAAUAGAGAGGCAACAAUUAUAAUGCUCAAUCUUUGAUCCAUCAUAUAGUCUAUGUAAGUUCUUUAAAUCAUGUUUAAGAUAUGUUCUUCAUACAACUUUUUAAUGGUCGAAAUAUGAAACUUUCAUUUUCAUUGAAAUUUUCUCCCUCUCGAGACAUGUCUUUGUAUGAUCUUAAUUUGAUGAGCAGCAUGAAAUUGUUAUAAAUAAGCCCAAAUUCCAGUUCUAAAGAACAUAAACUAUUCGUUGUGUUGAAAUAUAUGAGUCUUUAUAGCAUGCUUAAAUGGAAUCAUAAAAAAAAUAUGUUUUGUUUUAUCAUGUGAGAUUUUCUUUGCCUCAAAUGCGGCCCAUCAGAGCUCAAUAAAUGUUAGUUUUUAUUUUUAUUUAUUUUUAAUUUUGAGACAAAUAUUUAAGUAUAUUUUCAAGCUUUAAUAGUCAACCAGUAGGCCAAAUGAAGAGUUUAAUUGAGUAGAGAAAAAAGUCAAUCAUGAUCAUCACAUGAGAGUUCAUUGCUUGCUUUAUCAGUGAACCAAAGUACAUCUUUUAGAAACAAGAAGCUUAUAUUUAUUUAUAAUUUUUGAGACAAAUAGGUAAGUAUAUUUUCAAUGAAAAAUUUAACUAUCUAAGGAAGAAAGUCAACCACAUUUGUCAAUGAAGGUUUAUGACUUGCUCUAUCAUAGCAAGGAGCCUAUAUGAUGAAUUGAGGAUUUGAUAACAUGAUAGUCAACCAAUAGACCAAACAAAGAGUUUAAUCACGCAAAGAAGAAGGUCAACCAUGAUCACCAAAUGAAGGUUCAUCCCUUGCUUUAUCAGAGGACCAAGGUACAUUUUUUAUCAACAAGAAGCUUACAUGAUAUCUUGAGUAUUGUAAAGUUGAUAACAUAAUAGUCAACCAGUAGACUGAAUGAAAAGUUAAGUUAUACAAAAAGGGAAAGUCAACCAUGUGCACCAAAAGAAGGUCUAUCACUUGUUUUAUCAGAGGGCCAAGGUACAAUUUUUAUGAACGAGAAGCUUAUAGGAUAACUUGAGGAUUGUGAACUUGAUAAUGUAAUCAUCAACUAGUGGACUUAAUGAAAAGUUUAAUCACUCAAAAAAGAAAGUCAACCUUGUGGACAAAAUGAAGGUCCAUCGCUUACUUUAUCAAAGGACCAAGGUGCAUAUUUUAUGAAUAAUAAACUUAUCUUAUAAUUGGGGGACUUUAAAGUUGACAAUAUGAUAGUCAACUAGUAGACCAAAUGAAAAUAUUUAUUUGUGAAAAAAAAGGAACUCAACCAGGUGUAUCAAAUGAAGAUUAUGCCAAGGGCCAAGGUGUAUUUUUUUACGAAAGAGAAGCUUGUAUGAUAAUCCUAAGGAUUCUAAAAUUGACAAUAUAUGAGUCAAACAAUAGACCA